This 565-nucleotide ribosomal RNA is filed under the name uncultured organism. RNAcentral's name for it is "bacterial SSU rRNA". It matches the Rfam family "Bacterial small subunit ribosomal RNA", at positions 854 to 1429 of the family's 1533-position model. The record is from RNAcentral.
AACCCGUUAAGCAAGCCGCCUGGGGAUUACGGCCGCAAGGCUAAAACUCAAAGGAAUUGGCGGGGAGGCACACAACCAGUGGAACAUGUGGUUCAAUUCGAAACAAACCGACGCACCUCACCGGGGUUUGACAUGCAAUUGCUAAUCCUAUGAAAGUAGGACUCCUUCGAGGGUAUUGCACAGGUGCUGCAUGGCUGUCGUCAGUUCGUUCCGUGAGGAGUGCCCUUAAGUGGGACAACGAACGCAACCCCCAUCGUAUGUUACAAGUGUCAUACGAAACUGCCCCCGAGUUCUCGGGGGAGGAAGGAGGGGCAGACGUCAAGUCAGCAUGGUCCUUACGCCCCGGGCUACACACAUGUUACAAUGGACAAUAACAAUGGGCAGCAAACCGGCGACGGUAAGCUAAUCUCAGAAAUUUGUCCUCAGUGGGGAUUGUAGUCUGCAAUUCGACUACAUGAACGCGGAAUUGGUAGUAAUCGCGGAUCAGCUAUGCCGCGGUGAAUACGUUCUUGCCUCUUGCACACACCGCCCGUCAAGCCAACAAAGUCGGCAUUAUCUGAACCUC